Dipodomys ordii (Ord's kangaroo rat) is the source of this 65-nucleotide non-coding RNA. NCBI's taxonomy places the organism in Eukaryota, Metazoa, Chordata, Mammalia, Rodentia, Heteromyidae. The record is from Rfam.
GGUGGCUCAGUGGUAGAGCACUUGCCUUGCAUGCUCGAGACCCUGGGUUCAAUUCCUCAGCACCA